This 599-nucleotide ribosomal RNA is filed under the name Pseudoalteromonas spongiae. RNAcentral describes it as "bacterial SSU rRNA". It matches the Rfam family "Bacterial small subunit ribosomal RNA", at positions 81 to 683 of the family's 1533-position model. Lineage: Bacteria; Pseudomonadati; Pseudomonadota; Gammaproteobacteria; Alteromonadales; Pseudoalteromonadaceae. The record is from RNAcentral.
UAGAAGAUGACGAGCGGCGGACGGGUGAGUAAUGCUUGGGAACAUGCCUUUAGGUGGGGGACAACCAUUGGAAACGAUGGCUAAUACCGCAUAAUGUCUACGGACCAAAGGGGGCUUCGGCUCUCGCCUUUAGAUUGGCCCAAGUGGGAUUAGCUAGUUGGUGAGGUAAUGGCUCACCAAGGCGACGAUCCCUAGCUGGUUUGAGAGGAUGAUCAGCCACACUGGAACUGAGACACGGUCCAGACUCCUACGGGAGGCAGCAGUGGGGAAUAUUGCACAAUGGGCGCAAGCCUGAUGCAGCCAUGCCGCGUGUGUGAAGAAGGCCUUCGGGUUGUAAAGCACUUUCAGUUGUGAGGAAAGGUUAGUAGUUAAUACCUGCUAGCUGUGACGUUAGCAACAGAAGAAGCACCGGCUAACUCCGUGCCAGCAGCCGCGGUAAUACGGAGGGUGCGAGCGUUAAUCGGAAUUACUGGGCGUAAAGCGUACGCAGGCGGUUUGUUAAGCGAGAUGUGAAAGCCCCGGGCUCAACCUGGGAACUGCAUUUCGAACUGGCAAACUAGAGUGUGAUAGAGGGUGGUAGAAUUUCAGGUGUAGCGGUG